This 491-nucleotide long non-coding RNA is filed under the name Mytilus galloprovincialis (Mediterranean mussel). The record is from RNAcentral. Lineage: Eukaryota; Metazoa; Mollusca; Bivalvia; Mytilida; Mytilidae.
AUACAAAUUAUAUAAAACAAUCAAUUGAUAAAUUUUACAUAAUUGUCAAAUGUUCUGUGCUAUCAUUCUCCAUCUACCAUUUUCGUCUACCAUUUUUCGUCUACCACUUUUCGUCUACCAUUUUCCGUCUACCAUUUUUCGUCUACCAUUUCUCCGUCCGCCAUAUCUCCGACAUCUUUACUCCGACAUCCAAUACUCCGACAUCCUCAAUCCGACAUCCAUAACUCCGACAUUCUUACUCCGACAUCCUUACUCCGACAUCCAUUACUCUGACAUCCAUAACUCCGACUUCCAUAACUCCGACAUCCUUACUCCGACAUCCUUACUCCGACAUCCAUAACUCCGUCAUCCUUACUCUAUCAUCCAUACUCCGACAUCCAUAACUCUGACAUCCUUACUCCAUCAUCCAUACUCCAACAUCCAUAACUGCGACAUCCUUACACCAUCAUCCAUACUCCGUCAUUUGUAUAUACAAUGUAUAAAGAACAGUU